GGCCGUGUGGCGAAAUGGCAUCGCGUCUGACUACGAGUCAAAAAUCGCGAUCAGGAGAUUGCAGGUUCGACCCCUGUCUCGGUCA
Molecule: non-coding RNA, 85 nt
Organism: Tricholoma furcatifolium
Lineage: Eukaryota; Fungi; Basidiomycota; Agaricomycetes; Agaricales; Tricholomataceae
Source: the annotation of a GenBank genome assembly